GCCAGAAACCAUCUUGUGCUUUAGUACUCUUAGAAAUGAUGUUCUCCAGCCGGUACUCUGCAGACUGACCGCGUGAAACUGGGCCAUACAGCAGACAUUACACCCACCCUCAGUGGCAGAUUGAGAUUCAGGCUUAUGAAACUCAGCAGGCAGAAAUGAGACUGUCAUGUCACACCAGCUACAAGAUUUGCCUCCACUUGUCUAAUCUGUACACUUGCCCACUGACGCCACGGCCCAAGACUCCCCAAGGGACAUGAUUUGGAAGUAAUUGACUGACUCUCCGUAAUCCCCUACUCGAGUGCUUGACGGUGGCAAUGGGCGGGAAGAGGAAAAGGACCGAAUAGCGGAAAGCCCUUCCAUUCUUCUCUAUCUCAAAUCCAGGAAGGGGGGAAAGAAAAAGUUCGACCAUUCUUGACGACGUGGUUUUUGGCUGAUUACUAUUGACAUUGAUCGUAUUCAGCUAGUUCUAGGUGAAGAAAACUACGCUGUAACGCAAACAUUCUCACUCGCCACCCCAUUACGAACGGCGGUGUAUUUUUUCUUUCUUUUUUUUUUUAAAAAAAAAAAUUCAUAAUACAAAAUGGAUAGCU
RNAcentral lists this small RNA (590 nucleotides) under Histoplasma ohiense. Its description in RNAcentral is "hypothetical lncRNA". The record is from RNAcentral. Lineage: Eukaryota; Fungi; Ascomycota; Eurotiomycetes; Onygenales; Ajellomycetaceae.